UUCCGAUACAGUGGCGUGCAUCUUUUGUCCGCAGAUUCCUGGCUUUUUGAAAGCGGUGCAUUGAAAGCGCAAUGAAAGUCUUCAGAAUACUUUUACUUCUCGCAAUCUUUAUUAGGUCCUACUGCCAAAAUACGAAUACAUUUUUAACGGCCCUUGCAAGCAGUUCAUCAUAUUGGGUACACCAGACAACGCACACACUUUCACAGUAUACAAAAUGCUUUCAAUACGGAAUUCUCGAGGGAUACGGAAUGACGAAAUUCCUACUCGGCCAAAAAUACGAAGUUCUAAAGAACAUAAGUGAUACGGACACAAAAGUAGACAUUUGUCACUGGUAUACACAUGUGCUGGAAAUACGUGACGCAAAUUUCACCAUGAACAUGACCAGAUUGUGGGACAGAAAAAAUAUUACCUACAAACUGAAGUACUGGAAUAAUACAGAAAAAUGCUUUAUACUUCAAUUCAAUGUCGAUGGAAAUGAACAUUGCGAAAUUGACACAUUGGACAUGUUACCUAAUAAUACCGAUAAAGUUCUCAGUUGUGAAAAGAACAUCCCUGCCGUUUGCGGCAACAAAACAUCGUGGGAAAAAUAUUACGGCACUAAUUGCACCUACUAAAAGUGGUGUGUAGCGCAGCAUGACAAAUUACAAAUCUAUGAAGUAAAAAAAACGAAGCCGAUAAAUAAACAAAUGAACACAGCU
RNAcentral lists this unclassified non-coding RNA (698 nucleotides) under Rhipicephalus microplus (southern cattle tick). RNAcentral's name for it is "uncharacterized LOC119163853, transcript variant X1". The record is from RNAcentral. Lineage: Eukaryota; Metazoa; Arthropoda; Arachnida; Ixodida; Ixodidae.